Molecule: ribosomal RNA, 467 nt
Filed under: uncultured bacterium
Lineage: Bacteria
Description: partial 16S ribosomal RNA
Rfam family: Bacterial small subunit ribosomal RNA
Source: RNAcentral
GAUGAACGCUGGCGGCGUGCUUAACGCAUGCAAGUCGAACGGAAAGGCCUCUGCUUGCAGGGGUACUCGAGUGGCGAACGGGUGAGUAACACGUGGGUGAUCUGCCCUGCACUUCGGGAUAAGCCUGGGAAACUGGGUCUAAUACCGGAUAGGACAAUGGUUUGGAUGCUGUUGUGGAAAGUUUUUCGGUGUGGGAUGAGCUCGCGGCCUAUCAGCUUGUUGGUGGGGUAAUGGCCUACCAAGGCGUCGACGGGUAGCCGGCCUGAGAGGGUGUACGGCCACAUUGGGACUGAGAUACGGCCCAGACUCCUACGGGAGGCAGCAAUGGGGAAUAUUGCACAAUGGGCGCAAGCCUGAUGCAGCGACGCCGCGUGGGGGAUGACGGCCUUCGGGUUGUAAACUCCUUUCGCUAGGGACGAAGCGUUUUUGUGACGGUACCUGGAGAAGAAGCACCGGCUAACUACGUG